This 71-nucleotide transfer RNA is filed under the name Bos taurus (domestic cattle). It matches the Rfam family "tRNA". Rfam says of the family: Transfer RNA (tRNA) molecules are approximately 80 nucleotides in length. Their secondary structure includes four short double-helical elements and three loops (D, anti-codon, and T loops). The record is from Rfam by way of RNAcentral. RNAcentral also lists the same sequence under 4 other names. Lineage: Eukaryota; Metazoa; Chordata; Mammalia; Artiodactyla; Bovidae.
UCCUGGUAGCUCUGACAGUAAAGAAUCUGCCUGCAAAGCAGGACACCCAGGUUCAAUCCCUGGGUUGGGAA